RNAcentral lists this transfer RNA (78 nucleotides) under Eubacteriales Family XIII. Incertae Sedis bacterium. Its description in RNAcentral is "tRNA-Asp". It matches the Rfam family "tRNA". Rfam says of the family: Transfer RNA (tRNA) molecules are approximately 80 nucleotides in length. Their secondary structure includes four short double-helical elements and three loops (D, anti-codon, and T loops). The record is from RNAcentral. Lineage: Bacteria; Bacillati; Bacillota; Clostridia; Peptostreptococcales; Anaerovoracaceae.
GGCCCGGUAGUUCAGUAGGUUUAGAAUGCCAGCCUGUCACGCUGGAGGUCGACGGUUCGAGCCCGUUCCGGGUCGCCA